Molecule: long non-coding RNA, 1806 nt
Organism: Daucus carota subsp. sativus
Lineage: Eukaryota; Viridiplantae; Streptophyta; Magnoliopsida; Apiales; Apiaceae
Exons: 8
Source: RefSeq, a predicted model, not a curated record
CGUGUAUAAUCCGAUCCGAAUCCGAAUCCGAUAAAAUUAGAUGGAUCAGGAUAUGGAUCAAGGGUUAUCCGAUCCAUCGACACCCCUAAUUCCUGCUAAUUCUAAAUUCCUGCUAAUGCCCUAUGGAUCUUUUCCUGAUCCGACCUGGGAGUUAACCUCCCACAGCAGCAUUCCUCUUUCUUCUCUCUUUUUCAAAUUUCAAACUAGAACUUCAAAUCAUCUGAGUCAGUUUUACAUCCCACGUUUGUAGGCACGACUUUCAUUUUCAAACUACUCUCCAUCUGCACAUUAUCGAUGUAUUCAAAUUUAUUUCCAUCUUUUAUUCUUUGUUUUUGAAUUGUGGUGAUCCGCCACUUUUUUCAAUUCGUUUCUCAGUUAUGGUAGCCCAUAAUUUCAAUCACUAUCUCCUCCUUCGAUUUCAGAUUUCGACAGACCGGUGAUCUCAAUUUCUUCUCAUUGGUAUUCAUAUUAAUAUUUUGAUAAUGAUUCUUCUUGCACAUAGAUUGCUUGCAUCAGUUUUGGCAUGUCAUUAACCAUGAAUAAUGUCGUAAACGCCUCCCUUUGGGUGUUGUUUCUCCUUCAUCUGUUAAAACUGUGUUGUCAGGACAACGGAGAUGUUAUUCACAGUCUGAUCCUUCUUAUGCACACGACAGAGUCCUGCUAAUGAGCCGUCUGCUAUUCGUGAAAAUGUGGAUCCGAAUAAAGCAACCAUAACAGAGCAAACGUUGGGUGAGUGGUUUUCAUGUAUCUACUAAUUUCACGCCUCAUAUUUUAACAAUGAAUGUUGGAGAGGUAUUGCCUUCUGGUAUGCCAAGUUACUCGCUUUGCCAAAUGGUUCUAUAGUUGAGGCUCCAUUGUCUAUAUAUUUCAUAAUCCACAUUCAACCAGAGCUCCCUCGGAAAAAUGCCUCAUUCAAGGAUUGUCCACAAGACAAAUGUUACAGCUACACGUGCCACAGCUGCUGAACAAUUGGAUAGUGGGAACAUACCUCCUCGAAGCAAAAGAAAGCCAUGUUUUGAUGCGGAAGAUUUGGUACUGAUUGUUGUUGUAAAAAGAUGUGGUGAAGGGACGUUUAAAUAUUUUGUCCCUUUCUGGUUCGUUUUGAUAUAUAACCACUUUUCUGUGCAUUUUUUUCAAAUUGAGCUCUCCGCACUUCUUAUGCUCUGUAUUAAGUUUAAAGAUCUCAGGUAUUCCUUUUCACAUAAGAUAUUAUGUUCUUACUUUGAUUUAUCUUGGUCACUUGGUGCUUAUUUUUCAUUGUGGAGGCAGUUGUAUCAUGCAGUUAUGGCCUUAUAAGGCCACGAUUAAAAGAUGCAAGUUUUCAGUUUGUUCUCUCCUAAUUAGUGUUCUGACGCCAGAGGCGUGCUUUUUGAGUUGACAAGAGAAGGAAGUGGUUGAUGUGUUGAAAAAUAUACACAAGUACAACUGCCUUUUUCAAGGUUGCUUCAAUGGGCUUCUGCAGAAUUUGGAUCAAAGCCUUUCACCCUGGCCACAGUGUUGUGGUGUAGCAAGAAUCAUCAAACUAUACAAACAAAAAGUGCUGGUGUUUCUCUCAUUAGACGGCAGGAGGAUGAAGACAUCGUUGGGGUAAACCAUGGUGCUCGAAGAAAAGGAUGAUAUAAGAUUUUGGAAAUUCAUUAUAUUACCGUAUGAUUUUAUUUUAUUUUAAUUUUGUUAUGGACAAUAGGCAAGCAAAACAACGAAAUCAAGCAGUGUUGUAGUGUUGUAGUAGACUCAUACGUCUAUACAUGUUAAGCCGUCGAUUCAUAUUAAGCUGUUAAUGUGAUAGUAUAAUCUAAUAGCCAA